AAUCAGUUCAGCAGUUACCAUUAAUCUGCAACAGGAAAAAGUGUUAUGCAAACAACGCUGUCACCUUAUUAAAGUAGCUUCUUCCUCCUAGCUAUAAUGGAUUCUCUGCAUGCUAGUCUCCUGUAAAUUCUCCAUCUAAAAAUUCCAUCUUCUAUGUGUUUUGUCAGGGGAAACUCUUCUUGACUUUUGAAACAGCUGGGAGGAGCAAAAUGAUAACCUACUGAAGUGCCUUGCCCUUAACUGAAAUUAUGGCAAAGUAAUUAAAGCAAAAAGGCUUACACUUUGGACUCCUUAUGAUGGUGUUUUUUGAAUGGGUUAUAAGUAUCAUUCAGACACCAGUCUUCUGAGAUGGGAAAGACCAGUGAUGAAAAGACCAGUGAUGUUUCUCCAGUCCUUUCUGAAGAUAUUAACUGUAAGACCUCAGUUCCUGUCUUGCAAGAGUUUGGGCAUCACAGAGCACAAUAGGUGAAGGCAUGAAGAUCAACACUGAGAAAACAUGCACGUGCACAUAGGAUAAUGUCAGUGUCCCAGUUGUGCACUUGCAUGGCUAGGUAAAACAGAGCAAAACAAAACAAGAAAACAACCCUAAGGUAAAGUUCUCAUUAAGCAUUGUUUGGGCUGUCUAGAAGCAGGAGAUCUUCUCUACCACCUACUGGAAUUUGUUGGAUGAUUUGGUGUUGUUAUAGGAAGUAUUUGUCAGUUACUUUUUUUUGAGACAAUAAACACUGUUAGAGGCUGAAUAAAUUCUGUAGC
Molecule: long non-coding RNA, 753 nt
Filed under: Numida meleagris (helmeted guineafowl)
Lineage: Eukaryota; Metazoa; Chordata; Aves; Galliformes; Numididae
Description: lncRNA (ENSNMEG00000017306.1)
Source: RNAcentral